Long non-coding RNA from Chinchilla lanigera (long-tailed chinchilla), 1405 nucleotides. RefSeq lists it as uncharacterized. The record is from RefSeq and is a predicted model, not a curated record. The transcript has 4 exons. Lineage: Eukaryota; Metazoa; Chordata; Mammalia; Rodentia; Chinchillidae.
CUCCUUGAGGCAGCUCAGAAUUCACUGCAGAACUCCUAUGCUGUGUUCAUCCUCUCCAGCCUCCUCCCAGCAGACCAAAGCUUGCAAAAUAAAGUGAUCCUCCCAAUCAAGAAGCCAGGAUUCAGACCCCGAUCCACUCACUCUACAGGCUCCCAAGGAGUUUACCACACUGCUGCUGCUGCUGCUACUGUGGAGAGAAUGCAGGCCUAGCCGCCCAACCACACUUCCAUCUGGCUUUCCUUGAGACAUAAGGGAGCCAAAGAGAGGAGCGCUGGAGGCUGGAAGCCAGUGAAUAGGAUAGCUCUGUGGAAAGAUGGACAGCUGCCCUCUGCCUGUACCACUCACAGGUGAUAAUUUCUUGAGCCCACGCCUCCAGCUUUGGACUCCAGCAGAAAGAGCUUCCAAUGCCAGCCCAUCAUGGUGUGGGCAUCCCACUGAACUUGGAGAGUCCAGGUCCUGGGGUAGUGCUGUCUUACACCAAGCUUUGCAGCCAUGCCUUCUUGAGUACUCAUCACACACAACAGGCUUCAUGCAUGUGUGAAAUCAAAGGAAAUUCAUGUUUCUGCAAGUAAGCAAGAAAAGGCCUGGUGGAAGCGGGCUUAUCCCUGACCAAGAAAACAAUCAAGGUACAGAGCAGGCCUAGGAAGCCACCAGUACAAAGCUACCCUCUGCCUGGUCUCCAGAGACAGACAAGCAUACAGUCAAGUGACACAGGCCUAAUAGUGGGGAUGUGCCAGGGAGAGUUGGCUUGUGCCUUUUCUGGCCCAAAGAGGACAUCCCCUUUGAGGCUAGUCCAAGGAUAUCCUCCCAGAGACUCCAAUUCACCUGCAUAGACCCCUGUCAGGAAGACCGCAGCUCUCUGUCUAUAGGCCCUCCCUGGCUUCCUGGGUGAUGGAUGGCUCAAGAGUUGCACAUUUUUGUCCUGUCAAGAAAACACAAACAAUUCAAUACCAGGAGGAAAGGGCCCUAUUCCCUGUUGGCCCCUGGAGGAAUCCCCAGGGAACUUUACCCACGUCACAGAGGCCAUAGAGAAAGGGAAAACAGCUGGGCCUCUGGGACCUGGGAGCAGAAGGUAGAUUUAUUAUUUUGCAAUGAUUAAACCAACAGUCUACAAUUGAUUCCUUCUUGCAAAACCCACUGCUCAGGCACAAGAAACAAUGCAGGGUGACCUGGGUGCCAGUGGUCACUUUGUCCCUACCCUUACACCCACCCCACCCAGAUGCUACCUCUGGUAGACAUCCCCACUCUGGCCGGCAGCCAGGUCCUCGCCUACCUCCCACUCCAUUCCCCAUCUGCAAUUGUUUCCAAUCAUUUUAGGAAACAGCUCUGAGGACAAUUAGAAAAGAUAACAAGGAAGAAUUACAUAAUUACAGUCCGCCUAGAUCUCAGGCACUCCAAAAAAUAA